UUCGCCCUUAGAGUUUGAUCCUGGCUCAGGACGAACGCUGGCGGCGUGCCUAACACAUGCAAGUCGAACGGAGUUGAGCCCUUCGGGACUUAACUUAGUGGCGAACGGGUGAGUAACGCGUGAGGAACCUGCCUUUCAGUGGGGGACAACAGUUGGAAACGACUGCUAAUACCGCAUGAAGCUUUUGGGGGACAUCCCCUGGAAGCCAAAGCUUAAUGUGCUGAAAGAUGGCCUCGCGUCUGAUUAGCUAGUUGGUGGGGUGACGGCCCACCAAGGCGACGAUCAGUAGCCGGUCUGAGAGGAUGAACGGCCACAUUGGGACUGAGAUACGGCCCAGACUCCUACGGGAGGCAGCAGUGGGGAAUAUUGGGCAAUGGGCGAAAGCCUGACCCAGCAACGCCGCGUGAAGGAAGAAGGCUUUCGGGUUGUAAACUUCUUUUACCAGGGACGAAGGACGUGACGGUACCUGGAGAAAAAGCAACGGCUAACUACGUGCCAGCAGCCGCGGUAAUACGUAGGUUGCAAGCGUUGUCCGGAUUUACUGGGUGUAAAGGGCGUGUAGGCGGAGAUGCAAGUUAGGAGUGAAAUCUAUGGGCUCAACCCAUAAACUGCUUCUAAAACUGUAUCCCUUGAGUAUCGGAGAGGCAAGCGGAAUUCCUAGUGUAGCGGUGAAAUGCGUAGAUAUUAGGAGGAACACCAGUGGCGAAGGCGGCUUGCUGGACGACAACUGACGCUGAGGCGCGAAAGCGUGGGGAGCAAACAGGAUUAGAUACCCUGGUAGUCCACGCUGUAAACGAUGAAUACUAGGUGGGGGGGGGCUGACCCCCUCCGUUGCGCAGUUUACAAUAUUAGUUUUUCCCCUGGGGGAGUACGCCCGCAGGGUUGAAACUCAAAGGAAUGGCCGGGGGCCCGCCCAAGCAGUGGAUAAUUUGGUUUAUUUCGACGCACCGCGAGGACCCUUACCAGGACUGGCCAUCCAACUAACGAGGUAGAGAUACAUCAGGUGCCCUUCGGGGAAAGUUGAGACAGGUGGUGCAUGGUUGUCGUCAGCUCGUGUCGUGAGAUGUUGGGUUAAGUCCCGCAACGAGCGCAACCCUUGUCAUUAGUUGCUACGCAAGAGCACUCUAAUGAGACUGCCGUUGACAAAACGGAGGAAGGUGGGGACGACGUCAAAUCAUCAUGCCCCUUAUGACCUGGGCUACACACGUACUACAAUGGCCGUAAACAGAGGGAAGCAAGAGAGCGAUCUGGAGCAAACCCCCAAAAGCGGUCUCAGUUCGGAUUGCAGGCUGAAACUCGCCUGUAUGAAGUUGGAAUUGCUAGUAAUCGCAGAUCAGCAUGCUGCGGUGAAUACGUUCCCGGGCCUU
RNAcentral lists this ribosomal RNA (1367 nucleotides) under uncultured bacterium. RNAcentral's name for it is "16S ribosomal RNA". It matches the Rfam family "Bacterial small subunit ribosomal RNA". The record is from RNAcentral.